This 664-nucleotide ribosomal RNA is filed under the name Providencia sp. Its description in RNAcentral is "bacterial SSU rRNA". The record is from RNAcentral. Lineage: Bacteria; Pseudomonadati; Pseudomonadota; Gammaproteobacteria; Enterobacterales; Morganellaceae.
GUUGUGCCCUUGAGGCGUGGCUUCCGGAGCUAACGCGUUAAAUCGACCGCCUGGGGAGUACGGCCGCAAGGUUAAAACUCAAAUGAAUUGACGGGGGCCCGCACAAGCGGUGGAGCAUGUGGUUUAAUUCGAUGCAACGCGAAGAACCUUACCUACUCUUGACAUCCAGAGAAUUUAGCAGAGAUGCUUUAGUGCCUUCGGGAACUCUGAGACAGGUGCUGCAUGGCUGUCGUCAGCUCGUGUUGUGAAAUGUUGGGUUAAGUCCCGCAACGAGCGCAACCCUUAUCCUUUGUUGCCAGCGAUUCGGUCGGGAACUCAAAGGAGACUGCCGGUGAUAAACCGGAGGAAGGUGGGGAUGACGUCAAGUCAUCAUGGCCCUUACGAGUAGGGCUACACACGUGCUACAAUGGCGUAUACAAAGAGAAGCGACCUCGCGAGAGCAAGCGGAACUCAUAAAGUACGUCGUAGUCCGGAUUGGAGUCUGCAACUCGACUCCAUGAAGUCGGAAUCGCUAGUAAUCGUAGAUCAGAAUGCUACGGUGAAUACGUUCCCGGGCCUUGUACACACCGCCCGUCACACCAUGGGAGUGGGUUGCAAAAGAAGUAGGUAGCUUAACCUUCGGGAGGGCGCUUACCACUUUGUGAUUCAWGACUGGGGUGAAGUC